CCUAUGGGUGGCUGCAGUGGGGAAUAUUGGACAAUGGGGGGAACCCUGAUCCAGCGACGCCGCGUGAGUGAAGAAGUAUUUCGGUAUGUAAAGCUCUAUCAGCAGGGAAGAAAGAAAUGACGGUACCUGACUAAGAAGCCCCGGCUAACUACGUGCCAGCAGCCGCGGUAAUACGUAGGGGGCAAGCGUUAUCCGGAAUUACUGGGUGUAAAGGGAGCGUAGACGGUGAUGUAAGUCUGGAGUGAAAGGCGGGGGCCCAACCCCCGGACUGCUCUGGAAACUAUGUGACGUGAGUGCAGGGGAGGUGAGCGGAAUUCCUAGUGUAGCGGUGAAAUGCGUAGAUAUUAGGAGGAACACCAGUGGCGAAGGCGGCUCACUGGACUGUAACUGACGUUGAGGCUCGAAAGCGUGGGGAGCAAACAGGAUUAGAUACCCUUGUAGUC
Molecule: ribosomal RNA, 443 nt
Filed under: uncultured bacterium
Lineage: Bacteria
Description: partial 16S ribosomal RNA
Rfam family: Bacterial small subunit ribosomal RNA
Source: RNAcentral